This 395-nucleotide ribosomal RNA is filed under the name uncultured bacterium. RNAcentral describes it as "partial 16S ribosomal RNA". It matches the Rfam family "Bacterial small subunit ribosomal RNA", at positions 523 to 918 of the family's 1533-position model. The record is from RNAcentral.
CUACGUAGGGUGCAAGCGUUAAUCGGAAUUACUGGGCGUAAAGCGUGCGCAGGCGGUGAUGUAAGACAGAUGUGAAAUCCCCGGGCUCAACCUGGGACCUGCAUUUGUGACUGCAUCGCUAGAGUACGGUAGAGGGGGAUGGAAUUCCGCGUGUAGCAGUGAAAUGCGUAGAUAUGCGGAGGAACACCGAUGGCGAAGGCAAUCCCCUGGACCUGUACUGACGCUCAUGCACGAAAGCGUGGGGAGCAAACAGGAUUAGGUACCCUGGUAGUCCACGCCCUAAACGAUGUCAACUGGUUGUUGGGUCUUUGCUGACUCAGUAACGAAGCUAACGCGUGAAGUUGACCGCCUGGGGAGUACGGCCGCAAGGUUGAAACUCAAAUGAAUUGGCGGGG